AACUACUCGUUUCGCAUGAGCAGUAUUGUCGAGACCAAACGCUUCAUU
Molecule: ribosomal RNA, 48 nt
Filed under: Alisma canaliculatum
Lineage: Eukaryota; Viridiplantae; Streptophyta; Magnoliopsida; Alismatales; Alismataceae
Description: partial 18S ribosomal RNA
Source: RNAcentral